AUUGAACGCUGGCGGCAUGCUUUACACAUGCAAGUCGAACGGUAACAGGUUAAGCUGACGAGUGGCGAACGGGUGAGUAAUGCAUCGGAACGUGCCCGAUCGUGGGGGAUAACGCAGCGAAAGCUGCGCUAAUACCGCAUACGAUCUGAGGAUGAAAGCGGGGGACCGUAAGGCCUCGCGCGAUCGGAGCGGCCGAUGUCAGAUUAGGUAGUUGGUGGGGUAAAGGCUCACCAAGCCGACGAUCUGUAGCUGGUCUGAGAGGACGACCAGCCACACUGGGACUGAGACACGGCCCAGACUCCUACGGGAGGCAGCAGUGGGGAAUUUUGGACAAAGGGCGCAAGCCUGAUCCAGCAAUGCCGCGUGCAGGAAGAAGGCCUUCGGGUUGUAAACUGCUUUUGUACGGAGCGAAAAGGCUCUCUCUAAUACAGGGGGCUCAUGACGGUACCGUAAGAAUAAGCACCGGCUAACUACGUG
Molecule: ribosomal RNA, 477 nt
Filed under: uncultured bacterium
Lineage: Bacteria
Description: partial 16S ribosomal RNA
Rfam family: Bacterial small subunit ribosomal RNA
Source: RNAcentral